AAUAUACUCCCUCCGUCCAACAAUUAAAGGAUGUCUCAACUUUGACUAAAUUUGAAUACAUCUAUACACUAAGUCAUGUCUAGAUACAUUCAAAUUUGGACAAAUUUGAGACAUCUUUUGUUGGACGGAGGGAUCGAGUAGUAG
Molecule: non-coding RNA, 144 nt
Organism: Brachypodium distachyon (stiff brome)
Lineage: Eukaryota; Viridiplantae; Streptophyta; Magnoliopsida; Poales; Poaceae
Source: Rfam